This 383-nucleotide unclassified non-coding RNA is filed under the name Hevea brasiliensis (rubber tree). The record is from RNAcentral. Lineage: Eukaryota; Viridiplantae; Streptophyta; Magnoliopsida; Malpighiales; Euphorbiaceae.
AGCAUGAGAGUAUAUAAGCUCCAUCUUUUUAGGCUGCUGUGACUGCUAUCUUCAUCCCUGCCUGGCAGUGGCCGACGACGCUGCAGAUGAAGUAGUUCGUUCCCCUCGACAGCGUGAUGCGGUCGUUGCCUGACCUGAACACCCUCGACCCUGGUGGUGUGGUGCAGCCUCUGUACCCACCCGCUGGCACCGAAACAACAUUGUGGACUGCAGAGUUGUAUUUAAAUACAAGCACAUCGCCGGCCCGGAACCUCUUCCCGGCCGGCCACCCGGAGGUUCCAAAAGUCCACCCUCCGCCACCGCCAACUUCAUAGACGACCGAUUCGGCCACCUCACAGUUGACGAUGAGGAACACGAGCACCACCCCGAGAGCCACCGCCCGU